GGAGCGGUAGUUCAGUUGGUUAGAAUACCGGCCUGUCACGCCGGGGGUUGCGGGUUCGAGUCCCGUCCGCUCCG
Molecule: transfer RNA, 74 nt
Filed under: Burkholderia vietnamiensis
Lineage: Bacteria; Pseudomonadati; Pseudomonadota; Betaproteobacteria; Burkholderiales; Burkholderiaceae
Description: tRNA-Asp
Rfam family: tRNA
About the family: Transfer RNA (tRNA) molecules are approximately 80 nucleotides in length. Their secondary structure includes four short double-helical elements and three loops (D, anti-codon, and T loops).
Source: RNAcentral